Long non-coding RNA from Salmo salar (Atlantic salmon), 1227 nucleotides. RefSeq lists it as uncharacterized. The record is from RefSeq and is a predicted model, not a curated record. Lineage: Eukaryota; Metazoa; Chordata; Actinopteri; Salmoniformes; Salmonidae.
CUCUACCUCUGAACGACUUCGGGGGCGCUGAAACAGAUGAUAUUCUACCGUUCUGUACGAACGGUUUUACCAUAACUCCAAACAACCCAAGAAGCGCCGCUUUAACACACAGCUACACACCCCCUGGAACCUCCAGCCAAUCGCUACAUAAUCUAGCAUUUAUGGCGCAUCGCAAUACUUUGGCACAAGUGCACCGCGCAGAAUCACCACGGCCCGAGAAGGGCGACUGGUCUGAAAACGAUUGGAUUCAAGAACAUGCUAUCUAUGGACUCCAACGAUAGCUAUACAAACCCUGCAGAAUCUACAAAUCCAGAGGAUAUUGGGAUAGGACCCGUGUUAUCCAGGAUUCCUCAGAACAGCAAGCGCCAAAAAAACGGAGACUCAUCCCAAGCGUAUACCGACAAAGAAGGCCCAAUAUGUCGAGAGGACGAGGUCGAGGAGGAAUUUGGUGCCCAGGACAUACCUAGUAAAACAUUGAAACCUGAUAAUUUCAACGCUUUAAAUGACAAUUUGGAGGUAGACGAUGUGUUGAUGUAUGAGGCGGCCAAACAGUUUGAUACAGCCAAUUAUGAGGUAGAAACAACAGAUCCUGAAAUAGAUCAAGAUAGGUUUCUCACAGCCUUUUACAGGGCGCUAAAAGCCAGAGAGGUUCAGCUACACAAACGUAUGGUUGCUUUAUUAAAGCGUCAAUACAGUCAAGAUCUAUCCUUCUGGCAUAGAACAAUGCCCCGCUUGUUAAACAACAAUCUGAUUAAAAAAAGCCCAAACAAGCGCUAAAAACCUGUAUGUAACAUGGAUCCUUCUAGAAUACCACCAGAACUCAUAUCCUUAAUUAACCAAAUGAAUGAGACAGGGCCAACAUCUCCAUCAAUAAUUCAGACAGAUGAAAACCUGUUAUCACAGAUACCAGCAGAACUCAUAUCCUUAAUUAACCAAAUGAAUGAGACAGGGCCAACAUCUCCAUCAAUAAUUCAGACAGAUGAAAACGUGUUAUCACAGAUACCAGCAGAACUCAUAUCCUUAAUUAACCAAAUGACUGAGAGCACAACAUCUUCAACACCCUCCCACACACACGCACACCUCCUUUAACUCCUAUGUCCGAGGAGUCUGAGCAACCACACAAUGUUUUUGAGGAAUUGGAAAAUUGUGUAAUAAAUCAGAGUGGCGAUGGUAUUGAUAGAAGUGUUCGUGUUGUGUACCGAAAUAAAUUCAGCAAUACAGAGAUUA